Molecule: ribosomal RNA, 844 nt
Filed under: Thermococcus sp. Tc85_11
Lineage: Archaea; Methanobacteriati; Methanobacteriota; Thermococci; Thermococcales; Thermococcaceae
Description: bacterial SSU rRNA
Rfam family: Archaeal small subunit ribosomal RNA
Source: RNAcentral
UCCGAUUAGCCAUGCGAGUCAUGGGGGUGUCCCUUCUGGGACACCACCGGCGGACGGCUCAGUAACACGUCGGUAACCUACCCUCGGGAGGGGGAUAACCCCGGGAAACUGGGGCUAAUCCCCCAUAGGUGUGGGGUACUGGAAGGUCCCCACACCGAAAGGGGCCUCGUGCCCGCCCGAGGAUGGGCCGGCGGCCGAUUAGGUAGUUGGUGGGGUAACGGCCCACCAAGCCGAAGAUCGGUACGGGCCAUGAGAGUGGGAGCCCGGAGAUGGACACUGAGACACGGGUCCAGGCCCUACGGGGCGCAGCAGGCGCGAAACCUCCGCAAUGCGGGAAACCGCGACGGGGGGACCCCCAGUGCCGUGGCAACGCCACGGCUUUUCCGGAGUGUAAAAAGCUCCGGGAAUAAGGGCUGGGCAAGGCCGGUGGCAGCCGCCGCGGUAAUACCGGCGGCCCGAGUGGUGGCCGCUAUUAUUGGGCCUAAAGCGUCCGUAGCCGGGCCCGUAAGUCCCUGGCGAAAUCCCACGGCUCAACCGUGGGGCUUGCUGGGGAUACUGCGGGCCUUGGGACCGGGAGAGGCGGGGGGUACCCCUGGGGUAGGGGUGAAAUCCUAUAAUCCCAGGGGGACCGCCAGUGGCGAAGGCGCCCCGCUGGAACGGGUCCGACGGUGAGGGACGAAGGCCAGGGGAGCGAACCGGAUUAGAUACCCGGGUAGUCCUGGCUGUAAAGGAUGCGGGCUAGGUGUCGGGCGAGCUCCGAGCUCGCCCGGUGCCGUAGGGAAGCCGUUAAGCCCGCCGCCUGGGGAGUACGGCCGCAAGGCUGAAACUUAAAGGAAUUGGCGGG